UUAAGCGACUAAGCGUACACGGUGGAUGCCCUGGCAGUCAGAGGCGAUGAAGGACGUGCUAAUCUGCGAUAAGCGUCGGUGAGGUGAUAUGAACCGUUAUAACCGGCGAUUUCCGAAUGGGGAAACCCAGUGUGUUUCGACACACUAUCAUUAACUGAAUCCAUAGGUUAAUGAGGCGAACCGGGGGAACUGAAACAUCUAAGUACCCCGAGGAAAAGAAAUCAACCGAGAUUCCCCCAGUAGCGGCGAGCGAACGGGGAGGAGCCCAGAGCCUGAAUCAGUGUGUGUGUUAGUGGAAGCGUCUGGAAAGGCGCGCGAUACAGGGUGACAGCCCCGUACACAAAAAUGCACAUACUGUGAGCUCGAUGAGUAGGGCGGGACACGUGGUAUCCUGUCUGAAUAUGGGGGGACCAUCCUCCAAGGCUAAAUACUCCUGACUGACCGAUAGUGAACCAGUACCGUGAGGGAAAGGCGAAAAGAACCCCGGCGAGGGGAGUGAAAAAGAACCUGAAACCGUGUACGUACAAGCAGUGGGAGCCUCUUAAUGGGGUGACUGCGUACCUUUUGUAUAAUGGGUCAGCGACUUAUAUUCUGUAGCAAGGUUAACCGAAUAGGGGAGCCGAAGGGAAACCGAGUCUUAACUGGGCGUUAAGUUGCAGGGUAUAGACCCGAAACCCGGUGAUCUAGCCAUGGGCAGGUUGAAGGUUGGGUAACACUAACUGGAGGACCGAACCGACUAAUGUUGAAAAAUUAGCGGAUGACUUGUGGCUGGGGGUGAAAGGCCAAUCAAACCGGGAGAUAGCUGGUUCUCCCCGAAAGCUAUUUAGGUAGCGCCUCGUGAAUUCAUCUCCGGGGGUAGAGCACUGUUUCGGCAAGGGGGUCAUCCCGACUUACCAACCCGAUGCAAACUGCGAAUACCGGAGAAUGUUAUCACGGGAGACACACGGCGGGUGCUAACGUCCGUCGUGAAGAGGGAAACAACCCAGACCGCCAGCUAAGGUCCCAAAGUCAUGGUUAAGUGGGAAACGAUGUGGGAAGGCCCAGACAGCCAGGAUGUUGGCUUAGAAGCAGCCAUCAUUUAAAGAAAGCGUAAUAGCUCACUGGUCGAGUCGGCCUGCGCGGAAGAUGUAACGGGGCUAAACCAUGCACCGAAGCUGCGGCAGCGACGCUUAUGCGUUGUUGGGUAGGGGAGCGUUCUGUAAGCCUGUGAAGGUGGCCUGUGAGGGUUGCUGGAGGUAUCAGAAGUGCGAAUGCUGACAUAAGUAACGAUAAAGCGGGUGAAAAGCCCGCUCGCCGGAAGACCAAGGGUUCCUGUCCAACGUUAAUCGGGGCAGGGUGAGUCGACUCCUAAGGCGAGGCCGAAAGGCGUAGUCGAUGGGAAACAGGUUAAUAUUCCUGUACUUGGUGUUACUGCGAAGGGGGGACGGAGAAGGCUAUGUUGGCCGGGCGACGGUUGUCCCGGUUUAAGCGUGUAGGCUGGUUUUCCAGGCAAAUCCGGAAAACCAAGGCUGAGGCGUGAUGACGAGGCACUACGGUGCUGAAGUGACAAAUGCCCUGCUUCCAGGAAAAGCCUCUAAGCAUCAGGUAACAUCAAAUCGUACCCCAAACCGACACAGGUGGUCAGGUAGAGAAUACCAAGGCGCUUGAGAGAACUCGGGUGAAGGAACUAGGCAAAAUGGUGCCGUAACUUCGGGAGAAGGCACGCUGAUAUGUAGGUGAAGCGACUUGCUCGUGGAGCUGAAAUCAGUCGAAGAUACCAGCUGGCUGCAACUGUUUAUUAAAAACACAGCACUGUGCAAACACGAAAGUGGACGUAUACGGUGUGACGCCUGCCCGGUGCCGGAAGGUUAAUUGAUGGGGUUAGCGGUAACGCGAAGCUCUUGAUCGAAGCCCCGGUAAACGGCGGCCGUAACUAUAACGGUCCUAAGGUAGCGAAAUUCCUUGUCGGGUAAGUUCCGACCUGCACGAAUGGCGUAAUGAUGGCCAGGCUGUCUCCACCCGAGACUCAGUGAAAUUGAACUCGCUGUGAAGAUGCAGUGUACCCGCGGCAAGACGGAAAGACCCCGUGAACCUUUACUAUAGCUUGACACUGAACAUUGAGCCUUGAUGUGUAGGAUAGGUGGGAGGCUUUGAAGUGUGGACGCCAGUCUGCAUGGAGCCGACCUUGAAAUACCACCCUUUAAUGUUUGAUGUUCUAACGUUGGCCCGUAAUCCGGGUUGCGGACAGUGUCUGGUGGGUAGUUUGACUGGGGCGGUCUCCUCCUAAAGAGUAACGGAGGAGCACGAAGGUUGGCUAAUCCUGGUCGGACAUCAGGAGGUUAGUGCAAUGGCAUAAGCCAGCUUGACUGCGAGCGUGACGGCGCGAGCAGGUGCGAAAGCAGGUCAUAGUGAUCCGGUGGUUCUGAAUGGAAGGGCCAUCGCUCAACGGAUAAAAGGUACUCCGGGGAUAACAGGCUGAUACCGCCCAAGAGUUCAUAUCGACGGCGGUGUUUGGCACCUCGAUGUCGGCUCAUCACAUCCUGGGGCUGAAGUAGGUCCCAAGGGUAUGGCUGUUCGCCAUUUAAAGUGGUACGCGAGCUGGGUUUAGAACGUCGUGAGACAGUUCGGUCCCUAUCUGCCGUGGGCGCUGGAGAACUGAGGGGGGCUGCUCCUAGUACGAGAGGACCGGAGUGGACGCAUCACUGGUGUUCGGGUUGUCAUGCCAAUGGCACUGCCCGGUAGCUAAAUGCGGAAGAGAUAAGUGCUGAAAGCAUCUAAGCACGAAACUUGCCCCGAGAUGAGUUCUCCCUGAGACUUAGAGUCUCCUGAAGGAACGUUGAAGACGACGACGUUGAUAGGCCGGGUGUGUAAGCGCAGCGAUGCGUUGAGCUAACCGGUACUAAUGAACCGUGAGGCUUAACCUU
Molecule: ribosomal RNA, 2903 nt
Filed under: Escherichia coli KTE84
Lineage: Bacteria; Pseudomonadati; Pseudomonadota; Gammaproteobacteria; Enterobacterales; Enterobacteriaceae
Description: bacterial LSU rRNA
Rfam family: Bacterial large subunit ribosomal RNA
Source: RNAcentral